Molecule: long non-coding RNA, 326 nt
Organism: Etheostoma spectabile (orangethroat darter)
Lineage: Eukaryota; Metazoa; Chordata; Actinopteri; Perciformes; Percidae
Exons: 3
Source: RefSeq, a predicted model, not a curated record
GCACGACAAUGAGUGAAAUGCUGUUGGAAUAUCUUCCUUAAAUUUGGCUAUAGCGCUGUCAAAUAGGCAUCUAGUGUAGAAGCUUUUAUUUAAUUUGGUAUAGUCGGGUAGUAAGAAUUCAAAAGUUAUUAGAGAAUGGUCUGAUAAUAAAGGAUUCUGCGGUAAUACUAUUAAAUCUUCAAUUUUGAUGCCAUAUGUCAGCACAAGGUCGAGGGUGUGGUCAAAACAGUGCGUGGCCUUAUGCACACUCUGACUAAAACCAAUUGAAUCUAGUAGUGAGUUGAAAGCAAUACUACGGCUAUCAUUGUCAAAGUCCACAUGGAUAU